RNAcentral lists this long non-coding RNA (233 nucleotides) under Vitis vinifera (wine grape). RNAcentral describes it as "long non-coding RNA (VVIN_LNC000678)". Lineage: Eukaryota; Viridiplantae; Streptophyta; Magnoliopsida; Vitales; Vitaceae. The record is from RNAcentral.
GGGGGAGAGAGGAGCUCUGAUGAUGGAAGGUGGGAAGUGUUGGAUAUGGAGGAUGAAGGGUUUUUUGAUAGUGGGAAGAUGGAGGAUGAUCUGAUUGAAGGUGGACUCCCUGGUCAGCCAUCAGGGGUGUUGUUUAAGCAGUAUUCUGGUUAUGUAACUGUCAAUGAACUCAAAGGGCGAAACCUUUUCUAUUAUUUUGCUGAGGCAGCUGAGGAUCCAUCAUCUAAGCCUCU